GGCGGGUCCGAGGGCGAUGGCGUUGGCAGCUAAUCGCUCACAGCCGGAGAGGUCUUCCUUUUCCACUCCCACUGUGUCACUGGACUGGCUUUAA
Molecule: non-coding RNA, 94 nt
Filed under: Saimiri boliviensis boliviensis (Bolivian squirrel monkey)
Lineage: Eukaryota; Metazoa; Chordata; Mammalia; Primates; Cebidae
Source: RNAcentral